GUGAUGGAUUUGAGUAUCAAGAAGAGCAAGAAGAAUAGGGAAGGAGAGGGUCAACCCAAAAUUAAGUGGGUUGGAUUGACGCUAGUUAGUGCACUGGAGAUAGGGGAGAAAGUGGCAGAAAUGCGGGUGUGGAAGUGUAGGGGGACAUGGAUUCUAUGUGGGAUAAGGUGGCCAACUGCAUCAGGGAGAUGGCUAGAGAGGUUUUGGGUGUUUCGAGGGGCC
This 222-nucleotide long non-coding RNA is filed under the name Capsicum annuum. Its description in RNAcentral is "long non-coding RNA (CANN_LNC009498)". The record is from RNAcentral. Lineage: Eukaryota; Viridiplantae; Streptophyta; Magnoliopsida; Solanales; Solanaceae.